Molecule: ribosomal RNA, 253 nt
Filed under: uncultured bacterium
Lineage: Bacteria
Description: partial 16S ribosomal RNA
Rfam family: Bacterial small subunit ribosomal RNA
Source: RNAcentral
AACGUAGGAGUCUAGCGUUAUCCGAAUUUACUGGGCGUAAAGCGCGUGUAGGCGGUUCGGUAAGUUGGAUGUGAAAGCUCCUGGCUCAACUGGGAGAGGUCGUUCAAUACUGUCGGACUCGAGGAUGGUAGAGGGAAGUGGAAUUCCCGGUGUAGUGGUGAAAUGCGUAGAUAUCGGGAGGAACACCAGUGGCGAAAGCGGCAUCCUGGACCAUUCCUGACGCUCAGACGAGAAAGCUAGGGGAGCGAACGGG